GCUGGCGGCAGGCCUAACACAUGCAAGUCGAGCGGUAGCACAGAGAGCUUGCUCUCGGGUGACGAGCGGCGGACGGGUGAGUAAUGUCUGGGAAACUGCCUGAUGGAGGGGGAUAACUACUGGAAACGGUAGCUAAUACCGCAUAACGUCGCAAGACCAAAGUGGGGGACCUUCGGGCCUCAUGCCAUCAGAUGUGCCCAGAUGGGAUUAGCUAGUAGGUGGGGUAACGGCUCACCUAGGCGACGAUCCCUAGCUGGUCUGAGAGGAUGACCAGCCACACUGGAACUGAGACACGGUCCAGACUCCUACGGGAGGCAGCAGUGGGGAAUAUUGCACAAUGGGCGCAAGCCUGAUGCAGCCAUGCCGCGUGUGUGAAGAAGGCCUUCGGGUUGUAAAGCACUUUCAGCGGGGAGGAAGGCGUUAAGGUUAAUAACCUCACCGAUUGACGUUACCCGCAGAAGAAGCACCGGCUAACUCCGUGCCAGCAGCCGCGGCAAUACGGAGGGUGCAAGCGUUAAUCGGAAUUACUGGGCGUAAAGCGCACGCAGGCGGUCUGUCAAGUCGGAUGUGAAAUCCCCGGGCUCAACCUGGGAACUGCAUUCGAAACUGGCAGGCUGGAGUCUUGUAGAGGGGGGUAGAAUUCCAGGUGUAGCGGUGAAAUGCGUAGAGAUCUGGAGGAAUACCGGUGGCGAAGGCGGCCCCCUGGACAAAGACUGACGCUCAGGUGCGAAAGCGUGGGGGAGCAAACAGGAUUUAGAUACCCUGGUAGUCCACGCCGUAAACGAUGUCGAUUUGGAGGUUGUGCCCUUGAGGCGUGGCUUCCGGAGCUAACGCGUUAAAUCGACCGCCUGGGGAGUACGGCCGCAAGGUUAAAACUCAAAUGAAUUGACGGGGGCCCGCACAAGCGGUGGAGCAUGUGGUUUAAUUCGAUGCAACGCGAAGAACCUUACCUGGUCUUGACAUCCACAGAACUUUCCAGAGAUGGAUUGGUGCCUUCGGGAACUGUGAGACAGGUGCUGCAUGGCUGUCGUCAGCUCGUGUUGUGAAAUGUUGGGUUAAGUCCCGCAACGAGCGCAACCCUUAUCCUUUGUUGCCAGCGGUCCGGCCGGGAACUCAAAGGAGACUGCCAGUGAUAAACUGGAGGAAGGUGGGGAUGACGUCAAGUCAUCAUGGCCCUUACGACCAGGGCUACACACGUGCUACAAUGGCAUAUACAAAGAGAAGCGACCUCGCGAGAGCAAGCGGACCUCAUAAAGUAUGUCGUAGUCCGGAUUGGAGUCUGCAACUCGACUCCAUGAAGUCGGAAUCGCUAGUAAUCGUAGAUCAGAAUGCUACGGUGAAUACGUUCCCGGGCCUUGUACACACCGCCCGUCACACCAUGGGAGUGGGUUGCAAAAGAAGUAGGUAGCUUAACCUUCGGGAGGGCGCUUACCACUUUGUGAUUCAUGACUGGGGU
Molecule: ribosomal RNA, 1456 nt
Filed under: uncultured organism
Description: SSU rRNA
Rfam family: Bacterial small subunit ribosomal RNA
Source: RNAcentral